CCGAGUUUACAACUCCCAAACCCCUGUGAACAUACCACUUGUUGCCUCGGCGGAUCAGCCCGCUCCCGGUAAAACGGGACGGCCCGCCAGAGGACCCCUAAACUCUGUUUCUAUAUGUAACUCUGAGUAAAACCAUAAAUAAAUCA
RNAcentral lists this unclassified non-coding RNA (146 nucleotides) under soil metagenome. RNAcentral's name for it is "partial internal transcribed spacer 1". The record is from RNAcentral.